RNAcentral lists this transfer RNA (71 nucleotides) under Cavia porcellus (domestic guinea pig). It matches the Rfam family "tRNA". Rfam says of the family: Transfer RNA (tRNA) molecules are approximately 80 nucleotides in length. Lineage: Eukaryota; Metazoa; Chordata; Mammalia; Rodentia; Caviidae. The record is from Rfam by way of RNAcentral.
AGAGAUGUAACUCAGUGGUAGAGUACUUCCCUAGCACGGCAGUGUCCUGGGUUCAAUCCCCAGCACUGCAA